GAUGAACGCUAGCGGCAGGCCUAAUACAUGCAAGUCGAGCGGCAGCAUGGCCCUUCGGGGCCGAUGGCGAGCGGCGCACGGGUGCGUAACGCGUAUGCAACCUGCCAUCGAGCGGGGAAUAGCCCGGGGAAACCCGGAUUAAUGCCCCAUAGCCAUAUUUGGAGGAGUCUCCGGAUAUGUAAAGAAUUUCGCUCGGUGAUGGGCAUGCGUCCAAUUAGCUAGUCGGUGAGGUAAAGGCUCACCGAGGCGACGAUUGGUAGGGGGCCUGAGAGGGUGGUCCCCCACACUGGUACUGAGACACGGACCAGACUCCUACGGGAGGCAGCAGUAGGGAAUAUUGGUCAAUGGGCGCGAGCCUGAACCAGCCAUGCCGCGUGCAGGAAGAAGGCCCUUGGGUCGUAAACUGCUUUUCUACGGGAAGAAAAGGGCUCUGCGGAGCACAUUGACGGUACCGUAGGAAUAAGCACCGGCUAACUACG
This 479-nucleotide ribosomal RNA is filed under the name uncultured Cytophagales bacterium. Its description in RNAcentral is "bacterial SSU rRNA". It matches the Rfam family "Bacterial small subunit ribosomal RNA", at positions 28 to 505 of the family's 1533-position model. Lineage: Bacteria; Pseudomonadati; Bacteroidota; Sphingobacteriia; Sphingobacteriales. The record is from RNAcentral.